RNAcentral lists this ribosomal RNA (816 nucleotides) under uncultured bacterium. RNAcentral's name for it is "bacterial SSU rRNA". It matches the Rfam family "Bacterial small subunit ribosomal RNA", at positions 60 to 900 of the family's 1533-position model. The record is from RNAcentral.
AGUCGCACGGGAGCCGCAAGGCUCUAGUGGCGCAAGGGUGAGUAAUGUAUCGCUAACGUACCCUGGACACUGGGAUAGCUGCCCGAAAGGGCAGGUAAUACCAGAUGAAAUAUCCAGCUCGCAUGAGUUGGAUCUCAAAGGAGCAAUCCGGUCUGGGCGCGGGCGAUAUCGUAUCAGCUAGUUGGUGAGGUAACGGCUCACCAAGGCGACGACGCGUAGCCGGACUGAGAGGUCGGUCGGCCACAUCGGGACUGAGACACUGCCCGGACUCCUACGGGGGGCUGCAGUAACGAAUCUUCCCCAAUGGGCGCAAGCCUGAGGGAGCGACGCCGCGUGGAGGAUGAAGUCCUUCGGGAUGUAAACUCCUGUCAGGGGUUACCAAGUUCUGAGGAGCCCCAGAGGAAGAGGCGGCUAACUCUGUGCCAGCAGCCGCGGUAAGACAGAGGCCUCGAGCGUUAGGCGGAAUCACUGGGCUUAAAGCGUGUGUAGGCGGAUCGUUAAGUGCCUUGUGAAAUCCCACGGCUUAACUGUGGAACGGCUGGGCAUACUGGCGGUCUUGAGCCAUCUAGGGGCGACUGGAACAAACGGUGGAGCGGUGAAAUGCGUAGAUAUCGUUUGGAACGCCAAUGGUGAAAACAGGUCGCUGGGGAUGAGCUGACGCUGAGACACGAAAGCCAGGGGAGCAAACGGGAUUAGAUACCCCGGUAGUCCUGGCCCUAAACGAUGUCCACUAGAUCGCAGGACCUCUGACGGUUUUGCGGUCGAAGCAAAAGUGCUAAGUGGACCGCCUGGGAAGUACGGUCGCAAGGCUAAAAC